CAGCCGCCGCGGGAAUACGUAGGUGGCAAGCGUUGUCCGGAAUUAUUGGGCGUAAAGGGCUCGCAGGCGGUUUCUUAAGUCUGAUGUGAAAGCCCCCGGCUCAACCGGGGAGGGUCAUUGGAAACUGGGAAACUUGAGUGCAGAAGAGGAGAGUGGAAUUCCACGUGUAGCGGUGAAAUGCGUAGAGAUGUGGAGGAACACCAGUGGCGAAGGCGACUCUCUGGUCUGUAACUGACGCUCAUGCACGAAAGCGUGGGGAGCAAACAGGAUUAGAUACCCCUGUAGUCCCUGUCUCUUAUAC
RNAcentral lists this ribosomal RNA (301 nucleotides) under uncultured bacterium. RNAcentral's name for it is "partial 16S ribosomal RNA". It matches the Rfam family "Bacterial small subunit ribosomal RNA", at positions 509 to 807 of the family's 1533-position model. The record is from RNAcentral.